Molecule: ribosomal RNA, 113 nt
Filed under: Genypterus blacodes (pink cusk-eel)
Lineage: Eukaryota; Metazoa; Chordata; Actinopteri; Ophidiiformes; Ophidiidae
Description: partial 16S ribosomal RNA
Source: RNAcentral
CGAGAAGACCCUAUGGAGCUUUAGACACUAAAGCAGCCCACGUUAAGCACCCUUGAUUAAAAGACCAAACUAAUUGUAAUCUGCCCUACUGUCUUCGGUUGGGGCGACCUAGG